AUUUGGUACAGAAGGUUGAGGAACAAAGCUGGCAGAACGUGUCAACGAAUGAAGAUUUACGAGGCUUCCAGAAGGUGAACUGGCACCGGAAAUUGAAUUUAAGUUACUCACAGAUUUAUUGUUCGAGAGACUGGUUAGGGAUGCACUCUCUUUCAACGAUACUGUUGUGGCCUUGGAGGGAGAAAAGGGAACUGCUGAAGCAGCUCGUGCCAACGAAGAUUUGUGCGUUUGAAGGGCGUUUGCAGCUUUAGAACUAGAGGUCAUUAAAGAUACCGUUUUAGGAGAAUUGGCUGCCUGUUGGGCCGCAGCACCAUUUUUUCCAGAGGAAAGAGCUGAAGAGUAGGCUAAAUGAUUAGUACAUAACAUCAACAAGGUCGCAUACAUUUUGGCCUAGUGAGGGGUACGGACUCUUUAUUGGAAGCACUUGAAAUUGAGGUUUUCGACAACUUUAAGGGAGUGAAAGAUGGCGAAUUUAUACUGAGCUUGGUGGAAAAGCCAGAGUUUUGUGGAUCUAUUGCAGUAGCAGAAGGUGGUUUUGAAGAUGCCGGUGCAUUAUCCUAAAAAAAGAGAAUUGGUCAGUCAUUUAAUGUUUUAAAAGAAAAUAAUAAGAAAGAAUAAAAGCAAUAAUUAUAAAGCGAAAAGAAAACAAAGGUGAACCUAUCAAAAACAUAUAAAAAAACUCAACUUCACAUACUUGAUUUUUAUGUUGAAAAAAACACCCCUUAUCUAUGUAUGGACAUCUUCCAUAAAGUUGUUCAUUUCUACAGGGAAUGUUGGUUGAGAAUAUGGAUGAUCCUGAUUGAACAUGUAAGCUUAUGUUUGAAAUAAGAGCAAAAAA
Molecule: non-coding RNA, 838 nt
Organism: Schizosaccharomyces pombe (fission yeast)
Lineage: Eukaryota; Fungi; Ascomycota; Schizosaccharomycetes; Schizosaccharomycetales; Schizosaccharomycetaceae
Source: the annotation of a GenBank genome assembly